Brassica napus (rape) is the source of this 86-nucleotide non-coding RNA. Lineage: Eukaryota; Viridiplantae; Streptophyta; Magnoliopsida; Brassicales; Brassicaceae. The record is from Rfam.
CCAAUGUUUCUUGCUUAAAUGAGUAUUCCAUGAAAGUGAUUCUCACUCACUCUUCAUGAGAUGCUCAUUUGAGCAAGCAACGUUUG